This is a long non-coding RNA of Bactrocera latifrons, 2216 nucleotides long. RefSeq lists it as uncharacterized. The record is from RefSeq and is a predicted model, not a curated record. NCBI's taxonomy places the organism in Eukaryota, Metazoa, Arthropoda, Insecta, Diptera, Tephritidae. The transcript has 3 exons.
CUAAACAACUAAUUGAUCAUACAAAACAUGGUACUUAUUAUGUGUUCAUGAAAAGUAUAAAGCAUUCAAUAUAACGAUUUUUCUUAGUUCUUAAUAUCUUUCUGAGCUGAAAACCGUAUCAUUUUCUUAUGUAUUAGCGAUGCAGAAGAUAUAGUUGCCACGGAACAGGAAAAUUUAGAACUUCAAGUUAGGUCGCUGGAGGGUGAAGUAGCGAGCUCGAGUAAGCUUGUAACCGCAGUGAAAAAGUUUUUUACGGAAGGUCAGAUUAUGAAGCUGAUUGUAAAUAAAAAUAUACAUUGGUCAUGGUCAGACAUUUCAUCGGCCGUUAUCUUACAUGCAUCAGGACAGAGAGCAUAUAGGCAUUUGCUAAAAAAUGGUUAUCCUCUUCCGUGUGUGGCCACUUUGAAUAACUGGGUGCGAAAAAUGAAAAUGGAUGAAGGGCUUUUAGAAAAUGUGAUUAAACUUAUGGAAUAUAGUAAAUAAAGUAAACAGGAACGGAUCUGUGUGCUCUCCAUAGAUGAGAUGAAAAUAGCUUCUUGCUAUGAGUAUGAUCCGAUGAAGAGAGUCGUGAGAAAACCAUCAAACUAUGUGCAAUUUGUAUUCGUUCGAGGAUUGGUGUCCUCAUGGAAGCAACCUAUUUUUUAUGGAUUUGAUUGUAAAAUAAAGAAAGAUACAUUGGAGAACAUAAGCUCAAAACUAUAUUCAGCAAACUUUACAGUCGUUGAAGUCGUUUCGGACAUGGGGCCUUCUAAUCAAGCAAUGUGGAAAGAUAUCGGUAACGGUCAACUUCAAAAACUUGGUUCAAUCAUCCUAAAAGUGAUACACAGCGUGUAUUCGUGUUUGCUGAUGCACCGCACCUUUUAAAAUUAAUUAGAAAUCACUUUAUAGAUAAUGGUUUUAUUUAUGAAGGAAAAAUUAUAACAGUACAGACAAUUAAGCAAGUUUUGAACCUAACGACAGUCUUUGACGUAUCCAUUACUUAUAAAUUAAGCUAUGAGCAUUUGGAAGUAAAAGGCGCAACUAUUUUCGAACACGUGUGCUAAUGCUAUAAGAAGAUGCUACAUAGAUUAACAUAAAAUAUAUACCGCAGUGGAAUGUGCAGAUUUUAUCCAACUUGUUAAUAACUGGUUUGAUAUUUUUAAUUCUAAUAUUCGUUCUAAUCAAACUCCGUUCACAAUGCCAUAUGGAAAAUCACUUUUGCAACAAAACGAAGUGCUCGAAAAAAUGUCAAAAAUAAUGUCUGAGCCCUUGAUUUCAAAUAAACGAUGCAUAGCUGCUUUUCAAAAGGGAAUAAUUAUUUCCACAACGUCUCUUAAGCUAUUACUUGAGUACAUACAUGGAAACUUUGGGAUGGAAUAUAUUUUAACGCAGCGCCUGAAUCAAGACAUCUUGGAGCAUUUUUUUGGCGAUAUGAGAAGGGUUGGGGGGCAAUAUUACCAUCCGACACCGCUACAUUUUAAAUAUCGACUUCGAAAAUAUAUGUUUGCACGGAACACCGAAAGUUUAGCUCAACAUUGAACGUACAAGAGGAMGAUGCAAAGUGGCUGACACUAGAUCCGGAGCCGGAAUAUUUUUUAGAAGAUGAGAUAUAUAUACAUGAAGAACACUUUUUAAGUAAAGAGCUUGACAAAAAUAAUAAUCAAAAUUUAAGUAGUACAAGUUUGGGUUCAUUUUAUGAGGAUGGACUGGAAUAUUUGGGUGGUUUUUUAAUACACAAAUAAAAUUUAGGUGACAGAAUUUCAACUGAUAGUACAUGGACAUGGGUAAAACCGAACCAAAAUUUUUUAGAACAGUUAAAACUUUUAGAAGACGUGUUUACAAAUGUGCAUAACGACAACAUUUGCAGUGUCAGAAAUUUGGUAGAGAUACUUUUUGAUAAAUGUAAAGAUAUUGCUCUUGAGGAUAAUGUCAAGAAAUUGUUUUUUAGGUGCAGGAUACAUUUUCGAAUCAAGCAUUUGAACAAAAAUUUGAAAAAUAAACAGUUGCAUCAAAAAUAUCACAACGAAAAAAAUGUUUUAUACACUUACUUGAAAAUACAAUAUUAGAAACAAAACUACUCAUUUAAUUUUUGAUUUAUGCUUUGGAAUGAACUAUAUGAAAGAUUUAUAAUAACUAUUAUAAUUUAAAGAGUCGCAUAAACAUCUGUACACAGUUUCUAAUAGUUUGGCGGGGUACCGGUUACGACGUAUAUAUAUAGUUACAAUAAAAUUUGUGAA